GCUCAGAUUUACGCUGGCGGCAGACCUAACACAUGCAAGUCUAGAGGCAGCGGACAGUAGCUUGCUACUUUGCUGACGAGCGGCGGACGGGUGAGUAAUGUCUGGGAAACUGCCUGAUGGAGGGGGAUAACUACUGGAAACGGUAGCUAAUACCGCAUAACGUCGCAAGACCAAAGAGGGGGACCUUCGGGCCUCUUGCCAUCAGAUGUGCCCAGAUGGGAUUAGCUAGUAGGUGGGGUAACGGCUCACCUAGGCGACGAUCCCUAGCUGGUCUGAGAGGAUGACCAGCCACACUGGAACUGAGACACGGUCCAGACUCCUACGGGAGGCAGCAGUGGGGAAUAUUGCACAAUGGGCGCAAGCCUGAUGCAGCCAUGCCGCGUGUAUGAAGAAGGCCUUCGGGUUGUAAAGUACUUUCAGCGGGGAGGAAGGCGAUAAGGUUAAUAACCUUGUCGAUUGACGUUACCCGCAGAAGAAGCACCGGCUAACUCCGUGCCAGCAGCCGCGGUAAUACGGAGGGUGCAAGCGUUAAUCGGAAUUACUGGGCGUAAAGCGCACGCAGGCGGUCUGUCAAGUCGGAUGUGAAAUCCCCGGGCUCAACCUGGGAACUGCAUUCGAAACUGGCAGGCUAGAGUCUUGUAGAGGGGGGUAGAAUUCCAGGUGUAGCGGUGAAAUGCGUAGAGAUCUGGAGGAAUACCGGUGGCGAAGGCGGCCCCCUGGACAAAGACUGACGCUCAGGUGCGAAAGC
Molecule: ribosomal RNA, 748 nt
Filed under: Enterobacter sp. Wr1M17
Lineage: Bacteria; Pseudomonadati; Pseudomonadota; Gammaproteobacteria; Enterobacterales; Enterobacteriaceae
Description: bacterial SSU rRNA
Rfam family: Bacterial small subunit ribosomal RNA
Source: RNAcentral